RNAcentral lists this transfer RNA (71 nucleotides) under Anadara cornea. RNAcentral describes it as "tRNA-Phe". The record is from RNAcentral. Lineage: Eukaryota; Metazoa; Mollusca; Bivalvia; Arcoida; Arcidae.
GGCGCUGGUAGAAUAUUUAUUUAAGUUCAUAGCUCUGAAGAAGCUAAAGAGGUCGAGUAGGCCUCAGUGCA